AGCUUAUUUUGCGCAGCUUAGGUGGGAGGCUAUGAACCUUUUCUUCUGGGAAGAGGGGAGCCGUCAGUGAGAUACCACUCUUGGUAAGCUAGAGCGCUCAGUCUUAACCGUCAUCCGGUAAGACGACAGUUUCAGGCGGGCAGUUUGACUGGGGCAGUCACCUCCCAAAAGGUAAUGGAGGUGUGCAAAGGUUCCCUCAGGCUGGACGGAAAUCAGCCAUAGAGUGUAAAAGCAAAAGGGAGCUUGACUGCGAGACUGACAUGUCAAGCAGAGACGAAAGUCGGCUUUAGUGAUCCGACGGUGCUGUGUGGAAAGGCCGUCGCUCAACGGAUAAAAGUUACUCUAGGGAUAACAGG
RNAcentral lists this ribosomal RNA (356 nucleotides) under uncultured eukaryote. Its description in RNAcentral is "LSU rRNA". It matches the Rfam family "Bacterial large subunit ribosomal RNA", at positions 2126 to 2481 of the family's 2925-position model. The record is from RNAcentral.